AGCAGGCGCGCAAAUUACCCAAUCCCGACACGGGGAGGUAGUGACAAUAAAUAACAAUACGGGGCUCUUUCGGGUCUCGUAAUUGGAAUGAGUACAAUUUAAAUCCCUUAACGAGGAACAAUUGGAGGGCAAGUCUGGUGCCAGCGGCCGCGGUAAUUCCAGCUCCAAUAGCGUAUAUUNAAGUUGUUGCAGUUAAAAAGCUCGUAGUUGAAUUUCGGGAUUGACACAUCGGUCGUGCCUUAAGGGGUAUGAACUGGUGUAGUCAAUUUCUCACCUUCUGGAGAACCGCGAUGCCCUUAAUUGGGUGUCACGGGGAACCAGGACCUUUACUUUGAAAAAAUUAGAGUGUUUAAAGCAGGCAUUUUGCUUGAAUACAUUAGCAUGGAAUAAUAAAAUAGGACGGCAUGAUUCUAUUUUGUUGGUUUCUAGGAUCACCGUAAUGAUUAAUAGGGAUAGUUGGGGGCAUUAGUAUUCAAUUGUCAGAGGUGAAAUUCUUGGAUUUAUUGAAGACUAACUACUGCGAAAGCAUUUGCCAAGGAUGUUUUCAUUAAUCAAGAACGAAAGUUAGGGGAUCGAAGACGAUCAGAUACCGUCGUAGUCUUAACCAUAAACUAUGCCGACUAGGAAUCAGACGAUGUUAAUUUUUUAAUGACUCGUUUGGCACCUUACGGGAAACCAAAGUGUUUGGGUU
This 691-nucleotide ribosomal RNA is filed under the name uncultured Glomeromycotina. Its description in RNAcentral is "SSU rRNA". It matches the Rfam family "Eukaryotic small subunit ribosomal RNA", at positions 427 to 1113 of the family's 1831-position model. Lineage: Eukaryota; Fungi; Glomeromycota. The record is from RNAcentral.